Molecule: ribosomal RNA, 423 nt
Filed under: uncultured bacterium
Lineage: Bacteria
Description: partial 16S ribosomal RNA
Rfam family: Bacterial small subunit ribosomal RNA
Source: RNAcentral
GAAUCUUCCACAAUGGACGAAAGUCUGAUGGAGCAAUGCCGCGUGAGUGAAGAAGGUUUUCGGAUAGUAAAACUCUGUUGUGAGGGAAGAACAAGUAUGAGAGUAACUGAUCGUACCUUGACGGUACCUCAUUAGAAAGCCACGGCUAACUACGUGCCCGCAUCCGCGGUCAUACGAAGGUGGCAAGCGUUGUCCGGAAUUAUUGGGCGUAAAGCGCGCGCAUGCUGUCCUUUAAGUCUGAUGUGAAAUCCCACGGCUCAACCGUGGAAGGUCAUUGGAAACUGGGGGACUUGAGUACAGAAGAGGAAAGCGGAAUUCCAAGUGUAGCGGUGAAAUGCGUAGAGAUUUGGAGGAACACCAGUGGCGAAGGCGGCUUUCUGGUCUGUAACUGACGCUGAGGCGCGAAAGCGUGGGGAGCAAACA